UUUACAGGGCUUGACUACAAAAUGAACUUGAGGCAUGCAUCCUCGUGUUGGAAGUUAAGAUGUUGGAGUAUAAGUAAUUCAAUGCUUUGUAAUGUCUGUUCUAUUUUGAUAUGUCCUGAUUUUGGUCAGAAGAAUGCCAUGUAUCAUGUUGGAGACAGCUAAACUCGCUCUGGUUGAUGUAUGUAGUAUGUGAUUCUGUCAAGACUUUCAAGUAUUUCCUUUGUCA
Long non-coding RNA from Magnolia sinica, 226 nucleotides. RefSeq lists it as uncharacterized. The transcript is spliced from 2 exons. The record is from RefSeq and is a predicted model, not a curated record. NCBI's taxonomy places the organism in Eukaryota, Viridiplantae, Streptophyta, Magnoliopsida, Magnoliales, Magnoliaceae.